Molecule: ribosomal RNA, 709 nt
Filed under: uncultured archaeon
Lineage: Archaea
Description: bacterial SSU rRNA
Rfam family: Archaeal small subunit ribosomal RNA
Source: RNAcentral
UGGGUAUAAUACCCGAUAGAUCUCGACUGCUGGAAUGCAUCGAGAUCGAAAGCUCCGGCGCCUAAGGAUGGGUCUGCGGCCUAUCAGGUAGUAGUGGGUGUAGCGUACCUACUAGCCUACGACGGGUACGGGUUGUGAGAGCAAGAGCCCGGAGAUGGAUUCUGAGACACGAAUCCAGGCCCUACGGGGUGCAGCAGGCGCGAAAACUUUACAAUGCUGGAAACAGCGAUAAGGGGACCUCGAGUGCCAGGUUACAAAUCUGGCUGUCGUGAUGCCUAAAAAGCAUUGCAUAGCAAGGGCCGGGCAAGACCGGUGCCAGCCGCCGCGGUAACACCGGCGGCUCGAGUGGUAACCGUUAUUAUUGGGUCUAAAGGGUCUGUAGCCGGCCGGAUAAGUCUCUUGGGAAAUCCAGCAGCUCAACUGUUGGGCUUUCAGGAGAUACUGUCUGGCUCGAGGCCGGGAGAGGUGAGAGGUACUUCAGGGGUAGGGGUGAAAUCUUGUAAUCCUUGAAGGACCACCAGUGGCGAAGGCGUCUCACCAGAACGGACCUGACGGCAAGGGACGAAAGCUAGGGGCACGAACCGGAUUAGAUACCCGGGUAGUCCUAGCCGUAAACGAUACUCGCUAGGUGUCGGCCACGGUGCGACCGUUGUCGGUGCCGUAGGGAAGCCGUGAAGCGAGCCACCUGGGAAGUACGGCCGCAAGGCUG